GAUGAACGCUGGCGGAGUGCCUAACACAUGCAAGUCGAGCGGCAGCGCGAGUAGUUUACUACUUGGCGGCGAGCGGCGGACGGCUGAGUAACGCGUGGGAACAUGCCCCAAAGUGAGGAAUAACUGCCCGAAAGGGUAGCUAAUGCCGCAUAUGAUCUUCGGAUUAAAGGAUUUAUCCGCUUUGGGAGUGGCCUGCGUACGAUUAGAUAGUUGGUGAGGUAAAGGCUCACCAAGUCGACGAUCGUUAACUGGUUUGAGAGGAUGAUCAGUCAGACUGGAACUGAGACACGGUCCAGACUCCUACGGGAGGCAGCAGUGAGGAAUCUUCCACAAUGGGCGAAAGCCUGAUGGAGCAACUCCGCGUGCAGGAUGAAGGCCUUCGGGUUGUAAACUGCUUUUAUGAGUGAAGAAUAUGACGGUAACUCAUGAAUAAGGGUCGGCUAACUACGUG
This 451-nucleotide ribosomal RNA is filed under the name uncultured bacterium. RNAcentral's name for it is "partial 16S ribosomal RNA". It matches the Rfam family "Bacterial small subunit ribosomal RNA", at positions 28 to 507 of the family's 1533-position model. The record is from RNAcentral.